This 253-nucleotide ribosomal RNA is filed under the name uncultured bacterium. RNAcentral's name for it is "partial 16S ribosomal RNA". It matches the Rfam family "Bacterial small subunit ribosomal RNA", at positions 524 to 776 of the family's 1533-position model. The record is from RNAcentral.
UACGGAAUGUGCAAACGUUAUUCGGAAUCACUGGGCUUAAAGAGUCCGUAGGCGGCUUGUUAGGUGAGGUGUGAAAUCCCUCGGCCCAACCGAGGAAUUGCGCUUCAAACCGGCAAGCUAGAGGAGGAUAGAGGUGGGCGGAACUGAUGGUGGAGCGGUGAAAUGCGUUGAUAUCAUCAGGAACAUCGGAGGCGAAGGCGGUCCACUGGGUCCUUUCUGACGCUGAGGGACGAAAGCUAGGGGAGCGAACGGG